Pseudonaja textilis is the source of this 224-nucleotide non-coding RNA. The record is from RefSeq and is a predicted model, not a curated record. NCBI's taxonomy places the organism in Eukaryota, Metazoa, Chordata, Lepidosauria, Squamata, Elapidae.
AAUUCUGCAGGUAGUCCGUCUGUUCCGGGGGUUUUAUUAUUUUUUAGUUUAAUAAUUGCCUCUUUUAGUUCGUCCUUAGUAAUCUCUUCAUUUAAUCUUUCCCUUUCUUCUUCUGUUAGUAUUGGAAUAUUUUCUUCCUCUAGGUAUUGUUUAAUUUUCUCUUCACUCAUAUCUUCUUGUUUAUAAAGUUCACUAAAAUAUUCCAUUCAUUUUGUAUUGUUCCC